Molecule: small RNA, 850 nt
Filed under: Letendraea sp. 1 NV-2015
Lineage: Eukaryota; Fungi; Ascomycota; Dothideomycetes; Pleosporales; Didymosphaeriaceae
Description: eukaryotic LSU rRNA
Rfam family: Eukaryotic large subunit ribosomal RNA
Source: RNAcentral
GCGGAGGAAAAGAAACCAACAGGGAUUGCCCUAGUAACGGCGAGUGAAGCGGCAACAGCUCAAAUUUGAAAUCUGGCUCCUUUGGGAGUCCGAGUUGUAAUUUGCAGAGGGUGCUUUGGCAUAGGCGGCGGUCUAAGUUCCUUGGAACAGGACAUCGCAGAGGGUGAGAAUCCCGUACGUGGGCGCCUGCCUUUGCCGUGUAAAGCCCCUUCGACGAGUCGAGUUGUUUGGGAAUGCAGCUCUAAAUGGGAGGUAAAUUUCUUCUAAAGCUAAAUACCGGCCAGAGACCGAUAGCGCACAAGUAGAGUGAUCGAAAGAUGAAAAGUACUUUGGAAAGAGAGUCAAAAAGCACGUGAAAUUGUUGAAAGGGAAGCGCUUGCAGCCAGACUUGCCCGCAGUUGCUCACCUAGGCUUCGGCCUGGGGCACUCUUCUGCGGGCAGGCCAGCAUCAGUUUGGGCGGUUGGAUAAAGGCCUCUGUCACGUAUCUCUCUUCGGGGAGACCUUAUAGGGGAGGCGUAAUGCAACCAGCCCGGACUGAGGUCCGCGCAUCUGCUAGGAUGCUGGCGUAAUGGCUGUAAGCGGCCCGUCUUGAAACACGGACCAAGGAGUCUAACAUCUAUGCGAGUGUUUGGGUGUCAAGCCCGGGCGCGUAAUGAAAGUGAACGGAGGUGGGAACCGCAAGGUGCACCAUCGACCGAUCCUGAUGUCUUCGGAUGGAUUUGAGUAAGAGCAUAGCUGUUGGGACCCGAAAGAUGGUGAACUAUGCUUGAAUAGGGUGAAGCCAGAGGAAACUCUGGUGGAGGCUCGCAGCGGUUCUGACGUGCAAAUCGAUCGUCAAAUUUGGGCAUA